This 148-nucleotide unclassified non-coding RNA is filed under the name uncultured fungus. RNAcentral's name for it is "sequence contains ITS1". Lineage: Eukaryota; Fungi. The record is from RNAcentral.
CCUUUGGUUGUGAAUUGUGGGUAACCAUGAUUCUACAGCUUCAACCCUUGAUUUUUGAGUACCUUUGUUUCCUUGGUAGGGCAACCUGCCAAUGGACCUUUUCAAACCGCUUGUAAUUGAAAUCAGCGUCAGAAAUCACGAAUUAUUA